This 460-nucleotide ribosomal RNA is filed under the name uncultured bacterium. Its description in RNAcentral is "partial 16S ribosomal RNA". It matches the Rfam family "Bacterial small subunit ribosomal RNA", at positions 338 to 795 of the family's 1533-position model. The record is from RNAcentral.
CCUACGGGAGGCAGCAGUGAGGAAUAUUGGUCAAUGGACGAGAGUCUGAACCAGCCAAGUAGCGUGAAGGAUGACUGCCCUAUGGGUUGUAAACUUCUUUUAUAUGGGAAUAAAAUGUUCCACGUGUGGGAUUUUGUAUGUACCAUAUGAAUAAGGAUCGGCUAACUCCGUGCCAGCAGCCGCGGUAAUACGGAGGAUCCGAGCGUUAUCCGGAUUUAUUGGGUUUAAAGGGAGCGUAGGUGGAUUGUUAAGUCAGUUGUGAAAGUUUGCGGCUAAACCGUAAAAUUGCAGUUGAAACUGGCAGUCUUGAGUACAGUAGAGGUGGGCGGAAGUCGUGGUGUAGCGGUGAAAUGCUUAGAUAUCACGAAGAACUCCGAUUGCGAAGGCAGUUCACUGGACUGCAACUGACACUGAGGCUCGAAAGUGUGGGUAUCAAACAGGAUUAGAUACCCGUGUAGUC